UACGGGGGGGGCAAGCGUUGUCCGGAAUCAUUGGGCGUAAAGAGCUCGUAGGCGGCUUAGUAAGUCGGGUGUGAAAACCCCAGGCUCAACCUGGGGACGCCACCCGAUACUGCUAUAGCUAGAGUCCAGUAGGGGAGUGUGGAAUUCCCAGUGUAGCGGUGAAAUGCGCAGAUAUCAGGAGGAACACCGGUGGCGAAGGCGGGUCUCUGGGCCGAUACUGACGCUGAGGAGCGAAAGCGUGGGGAGCGAACAGG
RNAcentral lists this ribosomal RNA (254 nucleotides) under uncultured bacterium. RNAcentral describes it as "partial 16S ribosomal RNA". It matches the Rfam family "Bacterial small subunit ribosomal RNA", at positions 524 to 776 of the family's 1533-position model. The record is from RNAcentral.